GACGAACGCUGGCGGCGUGCUUAACACAUGCAAGUCGAGCGAGGAGCUUGCUCCUAGCGGCGAACGGGUGAGUAACACGUGGGCAACCUGCCCCAAGCUCUGGAAUAACUCCGGGAAACCGGGGCUAAUGCCGGAUAUGACAUCGCUGGGCAUCUGGUGGUGUGGAAAGAUUUAUCGGCUUGGGAUGGGCCCGCGGCCUAUCAGCUUGUUGGUGGGGUAAUGGCCUACCAAGGCGACGACGGGUAGCCGGCCUGAGAGGGCGAUCGGCCACACUGGGACUGAGACACGGCCCAGACUCCUACGGGAGGCAGCAGUGGGGAAUAUUGCGCAAUGGGCGAAAGCCUGACGCAGCGACGCCGCGUGAGGGAUGACGGCC
This 376-nucleotide ribosomal RNA is filed under the name Frankia sp. FE245. Its description in RNAcentral is "bacterial SSU rRNA". It matches the Rfam family "Bacterial small subunit ribosomal RNA", at positions 28 to 416 of the family's 1533-position model. The record is from RNAcentral. Lineage: Bacteria; Bacillati; Actinomycetota; Actinomycetes; Frankiales; Frankiaceae.